UACGUAGGGUGCGAGCGUUAAUCGGAAUUACUGGGCGUAAAGCGUGCGCAGGCGGUUUUGUAAGCCAGAUGUGAAAUCCCCGGGCUCAACCUGGGAAUGGCGUUUGGGACUGCAAGGCUGGAGUGUGGCAGAGGAGACUGGAAUUCCUGGUGUAGCAGUGAAAUGCGUAGAUAUCAGGAGGAACACCGGUGGCGAAGGCGGAUCUCUGGGCCAUUACUGACGCUGAGGAGCGAAAGCGUGGGGAGCGAACAGG
This 253-nucleotide ribosomal RNA is filed under the name uncultured bacterium. RNAcentral describes it as "partial 16S ribosomal RNA". It matches the Rfam family "Bacterial small subunit ribosomal RNA", at positions 524 to 776 of the family's 1533-position model. The record is from RNAcentral.